This 1027-nucleotide long non-coding RNA is filed under the name Meleagris gallopavo (turkey). Its description in RNAcentral is "lncRNA (ENSMGAG00000019053.1)". The record is from RNAcentral. Lineage: Eukaryota; Metazoa; Chordata; Aves; Galliformes; Phasianidae.
AAUGAGACCUUUCAGCAUCAAGAUGCCAUGUGGUUUUAAUGAAAUCUGACAGGUACAUAUGAAUAGUUAACCCGCUUUUCAUUUUUCAGAGCUUAUUAAAAUCAUUAAAAUACAGUGAUAAUUAUGAUCCUUUCUGACUGGUGUAUUUAUAUCAAGCCCAGGGAUGUCAGUAUACGUAAAGAAGGAUUGUGUUGUGUUGCUGUUGCAGAAGUUUAGUGGUGCUUAUUUAUAAGACCUGAAUUUGAAAUUGGAGGUUUGUGAUUUUUGAUUGGCUCUUUGUUGCGUAGGAUCUGACUUGCAGCUCUCAAUGAGUUUAGCUUUUUGUUAAAUGUUUUUGGUUUUUUUUUUUUCCAAUUUGAAUUAGAAAUAUGAAGUGGUCACCUUGUAUUCAAGACUGUGCAAAGUUGUAGAAUGGCUUGGGUUGGAAGGGACCUCAAAGAUCACCUCAUUCCUCUGUCAUGUAGGCCAAACUGGUUGUUUGUUUGUGGUUGUCCCUCAAUCUUCAGAGCUCUCAAAGAAAGAUGAUGGGCUCAAAUAGAACCUCAGCAAAGAACUGAUCUUUUAAAUCGGCGCUUGGGCUCCUUGAGGUGAUAUUUGUGUUCUUUUUAUUCAACCAGCAGGGAACUCUGAGUGUUUUCUCUGUAGAACUCCAACAAAAGAAGUGAGAUUCCCAAUAAGGAGAGCUCUAACUUCAGAUUCAAUUUGUAUGCAGGUAUCAGCUUUGGUGGUGAAUUUGGAUGUGCUGCUGGUAGUUGGUGCUUGCUGAAACCGAUCCAGAACGAAGCAACAUUUUUAUAGUGAUGAAAUGACUUCAGGCUUUGUCCUUAAGGGAUGAGAGAAGCACCUCAACAAAAGAGAGCAAAUGACUAGUACAGUUGACCUUUUCAGCCUUUGGAUUCUGAGUGCAUCUGACUCGACCAGACAGGUCUGGGGAAGAGAAAAAUUAACAGCAGAUGGAUUUAUGAAAAGAGGUUCCUUUGUUGGAGAGCAUGUUGCUGUGACAGUGAUAUCUGUAGAUGAUUUGUGA